This 250-nucleotide ribosomal RNA is filed under the name uncultured bacterium. RNAcentral's name for it is "partial 16S ribosomal RNA". It matches the Rfam family "Bacterial small subunit ribosomal RNA", at positions 57 to 305 of the family's 1533-position model. The record is from RNAcentral.
GCAAGUCGAACGGAAACGAUGGGAGCUUGCUCCCAGGCGUCGAGUGGCGGACGUGUUAGUAACACAUAGGAAUCUGCCCAGAAGCGGGGGACAACUUGGGGAAACUCAAGCUAAUACCGCAUACGCCCUACGGGGGAAAGCGGGGGACCUUCGGGCCUCGCACUAUUGGAUGAGCCUAUGUCAGAUUAGCUUGUUGGUGGGGUAAUGGCCUACCAAGGCGACGAUCUGGAGCUGGUCUGAGAGGACGAUC